UGGGCUUGAAAGUUAGUGACCGCUCCUGAAAGGGAGCCUUCCGCAAGGACACGAAACUAGGUGCUGCAUGGCUGUCGUCAGCUCGUGCCGUGAGGUGUUGGGUUAAGUCCCGUAACGAGCGCAACCCCUAUCAUUAGUUGCCAUCAGGUAAAGCUGGGGACUCUAAUGAGACUGCCCGCGCAAGCGGUGAGGAAGGUGGGGAUGACGUCAAGUCAUCACGGCCCUUACGUCCAGGGCUACACACGUGCUACAAUGGUAGAUACAGCAGGUUGCCACAUGGUAACAUGGAGCUAAUCCCAAAAGUCUAUCUCAGUUCGGAUUGAGGUCUGCAACUCGACCUCAUGAAGCUGGAUUCGCUAGUAAUCGGAAAUCAGCAAUGUUCCGGUGAAUACGUUCCCGGGCC
This 403-nucleotide ribosomal RNA is filed under the name uncultured bacterium. RNAcentral describes it as "bacterial SSU rRNA". It matches the Rfam family "Bacterial small subunit ribosomal RNA", at positions 976 to 1380 of the family's 1533-position model. The record is from RNAcentral.